AAUUGUGUUUCAAAUUUAGUAAAAUCUUUAGGUUUUCUCUGGUUUUGAAUUAUAAAAAUUCACAAUGUGUACAAUUUUGGGUUUAAGAAAGUGUGAAAAUAAACGUAAAACGAAAUGUAUUAGUAAAUACGUUACAACCUAUAAUAGCCAGUUCUACGAUAAAAAUGAGCGGUUAAAAUAUUACAACGACGCGUACUUUAGACGUCCUCCGGUGAAAGUUAUCAUACCUGAGGAGAUAAUUGAUCCUGAAGCUGAGCUUGAGCGCAGAGAGCAAGAACGUAGAAAACUUUUUAAAUUCUGUCCACCUGAAUGGACCGCUAAUAACAUUAUGGGCCUACUUCUUCCACGCCGCACAUUACCAUAUGAAGCAAAUAUCGAGGAUACCGAAGAAGACUUAAGGCAGCGAAAAUGCGAAAUUAAUGCUUGGGAAGAAUCACUGAUCGUUAAAGUCAUAGAAAAGCAAAAGUGUCCUUGCAGCACUAUAACCAGUCAUCAAAUUGAUUUCCCGCCCAAACCAAUUCCAAUUAAAGAAGAAGAGGACGAGACAGAAGUGGUUGAAGAGGGGACUGAUAUUAUAAUAGAAAUAGAAAGAGAAGAAGGAGAAGAAAAACCACGAGAAAAAGAAACACCAAAACAUGACGGCAGUAUGGCAAUAUUAAUACACCAACAAGACGACCGUGAGCAAGAAGAAAGGCAACUUAAACUUAAAAAACUUAGCCAGAAACGUCCACUUGACUUUACAUUUGAAGACAGCUCACGAUUCAGUCCUACUGGUAUGAGACAAAAGUGGGGCUUCGCACAAAGCGCAUGUAGAUAUAAACUUUCCGAGUACCGUGAAAGCAUAAGCAAAGUUGGUUGCAUUAUUAUGAAAAAUAACAUACAUGACCACCGGAAUUGCCCACCUUGGCGUUGUGAGCAUAAGCUGGAGGAUGAAUGUUUACAUUUUCCAGACGAGUCAUAAGGUUCGUUUCUAUAUCUUAAACAUAUGGUUGCAUUAUUAUGAAAAAUAACAUACAUGACCAUCAGAAUUGCCCAUCUUGGCGUUGUGAGCAUAAGCUGGAGAAUGAAUGUUUACAUUUUCCAGAAGAAUCAUAAGUUACCUCACAUGCUUCUUACUUAAAUUGGCCAACAACGUAUUUGGACAACUUUUCUCUUAGCGGCUCAUGAUAAUAUGAUGCUCCUCAUAUUAUCUGCGGACUUUUAUCGGAAAUUGGCUAUGUUGACCACACUAAUAUAAGAUUUCUAAAUUAAUAAGUGUGUAAAAUAUUUGAUGAACAAAAUUUUGUGUUUGAAAAAUAUGAAAUUGUCAAAAGCUAAGACUUUUUUGGCAUUUUACGCUGAUGACGUUUCAUAAAUUUCCAAAUUUAUAAGUUUAAACCAAAUAAAAGCAUUGCAUUCCAUGUUAUCGCCAAAAUAACAACAAAUAAAUAUUUUAUUUACUUUUUAA
Teleopsis dalmanni is the source of this 1447-nucleotide RNA transcript. RefSeq lists it as uncharacterized. NCBI's taxonomy places the organism in Eukaryota, Metazoa, Arthropoda, Insecta, Diptera, Diopsidae. The record is from RefSeq and is a predicted model, not a curated record. The transcript is spliced from 2 exons.